UACGUAGGGUGCGAGCGUUAAUCGGAAUUACUGGGCGUAAAGCGUGCGCAGGCGGCUUCGCAAGUCAGGCGUGAAAUCCCCGGGCUUAACCUGGGAAUGGCGUCUGAAACUACGGGGCUGGAGUGUGGCAGAGGGAGGUAGAAUUCCACGUGUAGCGGUGAAAUGCGUAGAUAUGUGGAGGAAUACCGAUGGCGAAGGCAGCCUCCUGGGCCAACACUGACGCUCAUGCACGAAAGCGUGGGGAGCAAACAGG
This 253-nucleotide ribosomal RNA is filed under the name uncultured prokaryote. Its description in RNAcentral is "partial 16S ribosomal RNA". It matches the Rfam family "Bacterial small subunit ribosomal RNA", at positions 524 to 776 of the family's 1533-position model. The record is from RNAcentral.